CUUUAUUGCAGGAAGUACUGACAUUAGAAGAGCAAGGAUUCUCUGGUCCUCAUCGGGAAUGGUGAGGUGGAAGAUUGUCUAAAAUUAGACAUUAGUCUUGGAAUGGGUCUCUCUCAAAAAUUGUACUGUAAUUACGUGUCUUUAGGAAGAAGGGCGUUGCUCUGUUUCUUUACACACUGAACUCCACCACAUCGUUCUUGGAAUUACAAUGCUCUUACCAUAUAUAUUUCUAUUUGUUUUUUUCCAACAUUCUUGCUUUUCUGCUGUCGGCAGGCUUUGAACCAGAACCUGCCAAAGGCACUCGUUACCUCUGUGUGUUUUCUCAAGUCUGAAGAAUAAUGAUUUAUUGCUAUACUGCUAAAGAGGAGUCAGGAAAAUUCCCUCUCCCUUGUCUGCCUGUUCGCAGCACAGUGUUAGGUAGCUCCUGAGGCACAGGGUGUGUUUUCCCCUUUGUAAACACGUGGUUUACAUCUCGUGUUGCUAAAUGCAUUCAUUACAGGAGGAUAUCUCAUCCCUGAGACCUGCACAAGGUUUCCCCCCGCACAGCUCGCCCACCCGUAAGCCUGUCAGGGAGGUCACCAGAGAUGCACAGUUUAAUGGUCCAGCUGAGUGCUGGUCCCAGAACUUCUUGGUAGAAUCUUUCCAGACCCAUUGCAGCAACCACUGGUGAAGGCUUAUCUUCGGCAGUUUAUGAAUCCAAACUUGAGGCCGUUUGGGCUUCAUGGUAAAAUCCAGACAUUCUUACUUGGGGUGUGAUUUAUCCCAUUCUGGUGGGUGCCAGCUUCUCAGUUCUUUUUCAGGCAACGAGAUGAAUAUUUGGCCAAUAAUUAUGUCAGAAAAAUCUGCACAGAUAUCCCCCGUUACAAAUAAACCUGUUAGCCUAGGACACUUAGCUAGUACCACUACUCCAGCCAGCGUCAGACCCAAGUAAUGCCCAAUGUCCCGAGCCUGCACUGGGACUAGCUGCAUCCUCAGGGAAAAGAAUUUCACUGUUGAUAGAUCAAUGCCAGCUCCUUACCUCAGAAAUGUACAGAGUCUGAAAGUAUGUGCAUAGAGGACUUUUGUUUUAGUGAAGGAUAUAAUCUGUAGAAGUGAAAAUCCAUCUUAAAAAUUUACCGUAUUAACCUGUUCAUGUUUAAUUACCCAGGAAAGUUGAAGGUCAUAUUGUUCUCAUACCAUCAAGGCAAACACUAGAGACUCACAACAGGUUAUGGAGGAUUUUAGUGAGUUCUGUGCCUUUUUCUUUAUUUAAUUUUCAUGUUAUUAAUGUAAGUCAAUCUUCUGAGUGUUUUAGCAGCUACUUCAAAUGUUAAUUGUCAAUAGGAAAAGAGAAUCUAGCAUCUUGGCAUGGCUGUGCUUUAUUGGAUCACAGAUAGAAACAUUUAAAUUCAGGAUGAUUUUCUCAUUCCAGUAUUUUGUCCCAAUCAAAAAUCACUGGUUCAGACAGGGUUAGGAGAUCUGAGGAAUGCAGUGUCUGCACUUAACUAAUGCCAACAGCAGAUGUCACAUUAGUGGCCACUCUGCUUUCUUAUGGUUUCAUUUAGCCAAAAUCUGCCAAAUACCCAUUUGGUUUAUUUUUAAAGUCCUGAGCCUGCAAGUGACAGAAUUACCUUUUAUUAUUUCAUAUGGGAUUUGUCAAGUUUUAACAUUCCCCUGGGAGACACAGAGAGUGGGGUUUAUCUUUUGGAAUAGUGUUCCAGGACAGUCAGAUGGGGUUCUCUGCAUGCAGAUGAAACUACAGACUUCUGGCUACCUUGUCACCCUCUCAUUGCACUCAGCAGAAUGUCAGUCUGGUGGCAACACUCAUGGAGCUGGAUCCAGAUUUUCUGAAGUGAGGCUUCAAAUCUGGUCUCUGAAAAUUUUACGGAUGCCCUGUUUCAUCACCCUCCUGUGAGUUGGGUUAGCUGGGGGAAGCCCCUUCCUGCAGGUCCCCGUUACGGGCCCGGGGGUGCACAGGCAGUCAGCGGUGAAGCCCCAUUUCUCUGCCACAGGGGAGCAGGCAGGACCCAGCGCCUGGGGCUGAACACGGAGCCCCCCAGCGUUACACUACCUUUCUAAUGCUGCCCGCUGAUUAACACCCGCGCUUUGUUCCCUUGGCUGACCCCGUGGCUGCCCCUCCAGAGCCCCCCAUGAAGGCUGCCUGUCCCUACACCCUGCUCUGCUCUUGGCUGUAGAAAGUUGGUCUGUGUGGGACCCAGGGAAGUCCAUCACCUGGUGUAAAAGGCAAGAUUAUCUCAUUUCUGACAGAUAGGUCUGACCUGUCCUUUAAAACUCCAGCUGGAGGGAAAUGGCACAAUCUCUCUUGAGCACCUUGUCAGUACUUGGCUAACUUUAUGAUUAGAAAAUGGUUUGUGAUGUCAGGCUUAUUUCUUCCUCCCUUUAAUGUGCUUUAUUGUUACUGUUCUAUCCACAACAGACAUGAAAGACAGCUUAUUCUCUUCCGUUUGGCAGCAGCCUCUUACAUAAUGGUGAACUUCUUCUAAUUUUCCCUGUCAUUCUUUUUUCUUGAAAAAAAAAAAAACAAACAAACAACCCUGUUUGACUCUCCACUGCAGUCCCCAAAUCCCCUUCUACAGAAGUGCAACUGAGCCCAUGGUUACCCAUCUUGUUUAUAGGCAUGACAUUUCUUCUUUAAAGUAGCAUUGUGCGCUGUACUGAAUUCCAUUUUAACAAUUCAGAUAAUUUCUCCAAUUUAUGUAGAUCAGUUUUGAACUCUAAUCCCAUUUCCAAAGUGAUUGCAAUGCCUUCCACUUUGUUAUAAUCUUUAAAUUUCAUCCCCCAUGUUGAUUAGAAUAGCUAAUAGUGCAGAUUGAGGGUGGGGUAUAUCGCCCACGUUUGAGAGUGGUGCAGUCGUGAUUUUGCACUCACGUUUCAACCUUGAUAGUGAGUUUAUCUGAAAGGGGUUUUCCUGUAAAUAGUGAUAUCUCAUCUGCUGCUUCCCCAUCUUUAGUAAGACCUAUGAAAGAAGGUAACUAGAUUUGCCUAACCUUUCCCCCUUACAAUCCCAUAUUGGCUGUUUGUUAUCACCUCAUUUUCUUCUAUGUAUCAACAGACUGAUCUUUUAAUUAUUUUCCAGCCUCCUUAUAGGCUUUAACAUUGGUUCCUCAGGUCCUCCUCUUAAAGUGCUUUAUUUGUCCCUCUGUAACUACAGCAUUUGUGGCCCCAUCCCUGCACUUGCUGCAUGCCUUCUCAAGAUGAUUGCAGGUGGCCAAGCAAUUGCUGUGUCCGGCUCCCUGAGAACCCUCGGGUAUCGUUUAAUAAGCCUCCAUGGACACACAAUUUACAGAAAUAGUCUUAGCCUUUUAAGGGUUUGAACAUUGGGUCACAGCUGGUGUUUCGGUGAGGGCUCACAUAAAAAGGGCAUGGUAACCUCCUUAUCAUGCAGCACUUGCUUUCCUUUUUUCCUUCCCUGUUAAGUAAUGGUUGUGUACUUUGCUUUUAUUGUUUGUUCUAAUAUAUUCAUAGAAACUUUUGUUAGUCUUGCUUGCAGCUUUGUUUACUGAUCACUUAGUGCUCUUCCCUUUACCUCAGCAUAGGCUGCUUAUUUUUUCAUCGUCUUCACCAGAAGAAUAUGCAUCAGAUUUUCUUGGAUGGUCUCAUUUGCUGUCAUCAACCGUUAAGAUGUUAUUUAGAGAAGAAGCUGAAAUCAUUAGACUGGAGUAUUACAAAAAUAGCUCUCUGUAUUUUAACCUUCCCAAUGCCUGUCAGAUGUGCAAUUUCACCACUAAAUAUUUUGGGUCUACUGCAGUUUUUAAAUACAUGUGGAAUGGUGGGUUUGAGUGCUUUUGGGUUACACAAUACAUGAGAAGAGGGUCCUUGGUUUGCUUUGAAUUGUUGUUUGGAGGAACGUUUGCUCAGUCCUGUGAAAAUCAGGUCACUGAUCUCAGCAGCCAGCCUUUAGUUAAACAAAACUAAGAGUUGACCAGCCUGAGUUCAGUUAAUCAAUUAUAAAAUGGCUUUGCUAAUUCUGGAGCCACAGCGAACUGCGGAGGAGUACGGGCAUUUGUUCAAAGGCUGGCUGAGCGAGCAGAAGCAAACCAGGGCAAGGUCAUCUUUAACACCACCUAAAGGCUCAGACGUCCGUGCAAGGCUGGAGGAUGCAUGCAGCCAUGCCGAUGCUACAGCAGAUUCACUUUAUUUGGGAUUGAGAAAUGGAUGACAAAGAGCUGAGCUGUCUUCUGGCCUCACAGCUGAAUUGAAGCAGUUUUCCCAUAAAUUACAAGGAAAUUUUCCUACAGGCAGAGCUACAAGGGUGACACAUUUUGGAUCCAAAUCUAGACUUAACAUGUUUAGCCAGUUGUAAUUUCUUUUUUAGGCCAGUGUAAGAGUUUUCUAGUGGGCUACUCGGUCUAUGAGCAGACAGGUGUGUUCACACCGAAGUCAGUUCUCGUGGAACAAGUCCCUGUGAUGCAGAGCCCACUCUGCAGUUCAUCCACAAGCUACAAAACCACCACCGUUAGCUCUCACAGUAAAGCCUCGCUAGCAGGGAAGAGAACAAAACAAGCCAAAGAGGAGGAACAGAAUGUUAAGUUACCAUUAAAUCGAACUGGGGUGGUGAACAGAUUAUCUGUGCAGAUUGCAGAGUCCAGCUCUGAGUGAGAAAACUAAUUUUACUGACCUGAAGAAUCUCGCCGGCUGAAACUCAGUUUCAUGUCCUGGGGAUCCCGAUGGACUUCAGAUACUGAAGGUAAGGGGGAAAAAAAGGCUUUAAAAUCAUCUGUCCCCUUUCCUUGCCAAUGCAGAGCUAUUUGUUUCUGUGCAUAAUCCAGGCUACUUUUAAACAUGCUAAUGACUUUCCACUGCAUUGCUGAAAGGAGAUGAACAGUGAAGGUAUCCUGCUCAAGUUAUGAUGAAUUCCCCUUUAACCAUAGCACUUGAAAGCAUCUUAAAUAUACAUCGGAGAAGUACAACAACAGUUCUUGUCUUUCUGCCACAAUUUGUAAUUAACUGGCUUCACUGAUUUGUAAGGAUUUUUGCCCCUGUUGCUUUCUGGUUAUUUUCUUUGUAUAAAUGAGUUGCCAUGCUCUUUGUGUGUGCAGUGUUUUUGAGGAGAUACAAGUGUUUUCGGGCUGUAAGUAGCUCUGAAGCAGUCACAUUCAGCUCUCAUCCUGUUUCUACCUCCAGCACGUUUAUUUGCUUGUUUUCACUCUGGAUUGCAAAGCAGAUGGUGGAGUAACCACAGAGGCCAUUUCUUCAUUAUUUUCAAAGGAAAUAUGGGCAGAAUUCUAGACCCUGGAGAAAAUACAGCUAAGCUAAAUUUUGAAAUUGUAAAGUGCUGGCAGCAGCUAGAUAAUACUCAUCAAAGAUAUCAAGCUGAAGCUCUGAAACCUCUCUUCAGUUUACACAGUAAUUCAUCUGAAAUUGUGUUCUAUGGGAGUUUUUUUUCCAUGGAAACCUGAAGUGUAAUCCCCCAAACAACUCACUUCACUCUAAGGUAUAUGGACUUGAUGUUUAGAUACCACCCAGCUAUGUUAGUCUAGUUGCUAUGGUCCUGUUUUCUUUUUCAUGUAACCUUUGAUGAAUACAGUAACCGUCACAAGGAGCUGGAGGACUGCUAUAUGAAUGUGCCAUAUGGAGAGCGCUGGGUAGAGAUGUGCUUGCUAGAUGCAAAAAUGCUGCUAGUUUCUGCCAAGAAACUGACACUAUAAACAGCCUUGGCCUGCACUUACAUAGCAUCUCAAACCCCUUCACGCCGCUGCCAAAAUUUCUCACUGCAGAUUUUUUUUCAGCCAUCAUCUCUACCCCAUCACUCGGGGCUGGAGCCUGCCCGCAGCCCUCUGGGUUGCCUGUGAUUUACAGCUCAUCCAGCUCUCCCCAGCUCCAUCCCCUCACAAACCAAGAUUCCUGUUGCUUGUGACUUGGUGCAGGUGGCUCGCACUGCACACGCGUUGGCAGGCUUGGACCUGGGUCAUCCGAACCAAAAAGCUGAUGCCUUUACCCAGCUUGGGCCCUUGCAGCAUUUUUCUGUUAUCAUCAAGUUUCUUUUAUUUACAGCCUGCAGCUAAGCAAGGUGGCAAAUCUUCAGAUGAUGUAUCUUGGUGAGAGUAUUGACUUUCAAGCACAAGAGUAACCCAUGAAUGCAACGCUUGAUGAAGCUUAGAAAGCCAGCUAAGCUUCACGGAUUAUAAUUCUGCUCCUGUUUUCUCCUACUUUAAAAUGACUUUUCCCUUUUUACCAGUCUCAGCCAAUCCAGUUUACAAAGAUGUUGGUUAAGUUAUCAGUUCUGUGUUACAGAAGGAGAAAUUGAGAUAUGGAGAAGGGGAACAAUUUGUCUGGAGGUCACCAAGGAGGCAAAGCAGAACCAUAGUCUAAGUCCCCAGUUCUGCUGGGAAAACAAAAGUGGAACAAAAGUGUAUCUUCAGCUUUUGCUCAGUAAUCUAUACCCUUAUCAGCAACUUAUCUGCAUCAUUUUCUGAACCAAUAAGCUAAUUUUAAUGCCACAUUUAUAGUGCUGUGGUUCUUACUGUUUUCAGCCUUGUUUCAACUCAUCUACUGUGGGAAUCGUCUGAUCAGACGUAUCUGUAAUGCAUAUGUAGAUACAAGAGUAAAUCAUUUGAGGCUUUACAGGCAA
This is a long non-coding RNA of Falco peregrinus (peregrine falcon), 6571 nucleotides long. RefSeq lists it as uncharacterized. The transcript is spliced from 4 exons. Lineage: Eukaryota; Metazoa; Chordata; Aves; Falconiformes; Falconidae. The record is from RefSeq and is a predicted model, not a curated record.